RNAcentral lists this transfer RNA (72 nucleotides) under Marmota marmota marmota (Alpine marmot). It matches the Rfam family "tRNA". Rfam says of the family: Transfer RNA (tRNA) molecules are approximately 80 nucleotides in length. The record is from Rfam by way of RNAcentral. RNAcentral also lists the same sequence under 2 other names. Lineage: Eukaryota; Metazoa; Chordata; Mammalia; Rodentia; Sciuridae.
GGGGGUGUCGCUCAGUGGUAGAGUGCUUGCCUAGCAUGCAUGAGGUCCUGGGUUUAAUCCCCAGCACUGCAA